This 365-nucleotide ribosomal RNA is filed under the name uncultured bacterium. RNAcentral describes it as "bacterial SSU rRNA". It matches the Rfam family "Bacterial small subunit ribosomal RNA", at positions 127 to 507 of the family's 1533-position model. The record is from RNAcentral.
UGCCUUUCUAGAGGGGGACGAACAGUUGGAAACGACUGCUAAUACCGCAUGAUACUUGCGAAUGGCAUCAUUUGCAAGUCAAAGAUUUAUCGCUGAAAGAUGGCCUCGCGUCUGACUAGCUAGUUGGUGGGGUAACGGCCCACCAAGGCGACGAUCAGUAGCCGGACUGAGAGGUUGACCGGCCACAUUGGGACUGAGAUACGGCCCAGACUCCUACGGGAGGCAGCAGUGGGGAAUAUUGGGCAAUGGGCGCAAGCCUGACCCAGCAACGCCGCGUGAAGGAAGAAGGCCUUCGGGUUGUAAACUUCUUUUACCAGGGACGAAAAAUGACGGUACCUGGAGAAAAAGCAACGGCUAACUACGUG